This 1763-nucleotide long non-coding RNA is filed under the name Homo sapiens (human). RNAcentral's name for it is "HSALNT0126213". The record is from RNAcentral. Lineage: Eukaryota; Metazoa; Chordata; Mammalia; Primates; Hominidae.
AGAGACUGUCCUAUUUCCUACCACACUGCACUGAGGCACGGUAAAGGAUGGUGAGAACGCCUGCCUAGUGAAUGGACGGGGCCUGCAGGCAGGUGAGGGAAGCCCCCAAGAGGCCGGGAACAAAAUAGAAACACUGAUCCAGGGAAGGGUGAGCCCUUGGAGCCGCUGGCUGUCCUGGGGGCAUCCUUGGAUCCUGCAGGGCACACCCGAGAAAACAGGACACUGGGUUACAGCACCCCUGUCCCCAUCCCCUCCCCCAGUACAUAAAAUGGGACUCAGGAAGGGUGAGCUUCAAGAAACCUCCUCGAAAACUGUCCUGUUCACUCCUGGCUCUGUGGGAAGCGGGGAAAGGGGAGGAAAAUCUCUUGAUAGUUUGACGUUAUUAAUGGGCCCUUAUGUGAGUCUAGGCCUGUAUUCAUGUCCUUGGUUAAGGCUGGAAAGUUACAAACUAAGUUUUCUAAUCUAAAAUCGCCCCAGGAUUGGUGUGUCCCUGGCACGUGGCAGGAGUAACCCCCAGUACUCUUUGAAGAGUAUGUUCUCAACCCAAGGCGCACACAAUUCCUACAGCUGGAGUUCUGAAGAAUGAGUCCAGAUUAAAAAUCACAAAACAGGCUGGGUGUGGUGGUGCACGCCUGUAGUCCCAGCUACUGGGGAGGCUUAGAUGGGAGGAUUGCUUGGGCCCAGGAGGUCAAGCCUGCAGUGAGCUAUGACUGCACCACUGCACUCCAGCCUGGGCAACAGACUGAGACUCUUUGUCUCCAAAAAAAUAAAAGAGCAUGGAAGUGGGGCACUGUGUAGAGCAGACUUAGCUGUUAUCUUGCCACCCUCCAGGCCUGUUAAGCGGGGCCACUUCUGUGCAGCAAGCGCCCUUAAGUCCUGGAGCCUUAGAAAGGUAGGGCUGACCGCCCCUGUCCACAGCCUGUCACCCCAUUAAUGUCAGAGACACUUCAUGUAAGUCCUGGAUUCCCCAGAGUCAGCUGUGGGGUCCGACAGACAUGCCAGAUGCCGUGAGCAGGGUGUGUGGUCCCUCCCCCAGCCAUCAUGUUAGCCCUACAGCCCAUCGGCAGCCUCUCCAUACAGAGUCACACCUGCAGAUCAGACAAAGUUGAAAACACAGGGACAGCUGGGUGCGGUGGCUCACGCCUGUAAUCCCAGCACUUUGGGAGGCCGAGGGGAGCAGGUCACAAGGUCAGGAGUUCGAGACCAUCCUGGCCAACAUAGAAGAAAGAAAACAGGAAUUGCAGAGCCAGGGAAUAGAGCUGGCAAGAGUGUUGGGUGCCAACUGGGCAGAGCCCCUCAGGGCAGCAGGGACUCAGGGGUGGGUGUCAGUACAGAGUCAGUGCCCCCAGCUGCCUCCUGACCCUUUUGUUCAGUGCUUGAGGCUGCCGUUUUAGGAGUCAUAGAGUAAAGAGAAGCUAUGGAAGGGCCUGGAUAAUCAGGACUGGGAUGAGGCAGGGUCAGGGCUGGAUUUGUCAUGUGGCUCUGCAGGCUCCCCUUACCCAAGUCUAAGCAUCGUCCCAUCUCUCUGAUCCUGUAAUCAAAACCUGUCCCCAAGGUAGCUUAGGUGUGUCACAGCCACGAGGGAAAACGUUGGGUACAGCCCACCCUCUGUCCCCAGCAGUGGCUCCCCAAGGGAGGGGAGGCUGGGACACUUCUGAUGCUGUUCCCUCCCAUCUCCUGCCAGGGAACCCCAGACCUUGGCUCAGAGGUAAGUGACUGGCCUGUGGUGCAGAAGGGCUUGGUCCCCAGACGGGGUGGCGGAG